UGGGGAAUUUUGGACAAUGGGGGAAACCCUGAUCCAGCCAUCCCGCGUGUGCGAUGAAGGCCUUCGGGUUGUAAAGCACUUUUGGCAGGAAAGAAACGUCAUGGGUUAAUACCCCGUGAAACUGACGGUACCUGCAGAAUAAGCACCGGCUAACUACGUGCCAGCAGCCGCGGUAAUACGUAGGGUGCAAGCGUUAAUCGGAAUUACUGGGCGUAAAGCGUGCGCAGGCGGUUCGGAAAGAAAGAUGUGAAAUCCCAGAGCUCAACUUUGGAACUGCAAUUUUAACUACCCGGCUAGCGUGUGUCAGAGGGAGGUGGAAUUCCGCGUGUAGCAGUGAAAUGCGUAGAUAUGCGGAGGAACACCGAUGGCGAAGGCAGCCUCCUGGGAUAACACUGACGCUCAUGCACGAAAGCGUGGGGAGCAAACAGG
This 429-nucleotide ribosomal RNA is filed under the name Acidobacteriota bacterium. RNAcentral's name for it is "Acidobacteria bacterium partial 16S ribosomal RNA". It matches the Rfam family "Bacterial small subunit ribosomal RNA", at positions 355 to 776 of the family's 1533-position model. The record is from RNAcentral. Lineage: Bacteria; Pseudomonadati; Acidobacteriota.